UACAACAACAAUACUGUGAAUGCUUUUACAAGCAUUCACACUAAUUAUAACUAUUGCUGGUAUUAUUCUUAAUGUGGUUAUAAACUUGUUAUGAUGUUGUUGUUGUGUUUGCAGGUGUUUGGUGAAUCAGGAGGGGUGGACAAAGCCAAACUGGAUGAAAUAUUCAGGAUUAACAGCCAGGUGUCAUGUGAACAGGUGAGCUUCAUCUCAUCAACGCAGUGUGCUGCAGACCUGAUCCAGGAACAUGUGCGGGAUGGAGACACUGAGGGAACGCUCGUCCAGGUUGUAGGCGGAGCCUCACAGUGAUACGAGAUGAGAUCCUCCUUCAUCUUCCUGUCAGUAAACUUGACUCUUCUUCUGUAAAGACUCAGAUCAAAGUAAAAAACAAAUGUAAUGUGUGGUAAUGUUUUUUCCUCAUCUCUUUCAAGACGCCGUCUGUUUUUUUUAUUAAAUCAGUGUGUAACAACAAUGUAUUUUUCUCUGGUCCCCUCCCCAAUCAGACCAGCAGUGACAUAUUUAGACACAUGUUCUCCUUAAAUUGCUGGCUGUCUGCGUGGUGUCCAAAAAAUGAUGUGGGCUUCAGAUAAGCUGUCCUUCUGCCUCAUGUCUCUAAUACUGUCGGCUCUGGGUGAAGCUUUUUCAGACAACUGUUGUUGUGACGCGGAUCAAUAUAAAUAAAGCUGAACUGAACUCUGCAUCACUUUUUCUUUUUUAAAACAGUAAAUGUUCUCGUUGGCUGUUUUUCUUCUUCUUUUCUGACUAGCUAGUCUCACACAUUUUUGUAGGUUGUUAGGAAUAAAAUGGUUAAAUAAAGCUGUUUUUGUGUGAGUUCUAUAAACAUUGGAAUUGUAGUUGUUAAGAGUUGGCACUGUGUAAUGAGGGUCAAAAGUCCAUUCAGAGCUAUGAUUAAACUGAAUUAUUGAGACUGACAUGUUGAGCUGCAGAGGGAUUUGCACACAUCAUAACUGGUUAGAGUCAGGGGGAUAUUUUUCUGGGCCAGAACGUCCCGGACUUGGAAAAUAAGUAGAAACAACAGGCUGGAUGACAGGGAGCGAGGUGUUUUCCUUUCUUUUUCCAGGAAAAGGAGCAGCUGCAGACGAGAUCAGUGGUGGAUGAAGUGCAGGAGAAGAUCCAAUCAGCUGACUGCAGGACCAGCUGCGUCAUUCCCAAGAGGAGACAGUCAUAAUAAUACUUGUUUUUGUUUUGGUAUAAAACUGUAUUGCCUGCUCACAGGGUCAUCCUUUGUGUGAAGCAGACAGCUGGUUCACAUCGAGGUCCAGCGUGUCUUAACUUGUAAUUUCAACUGCUGAAAUGAAUUCAAUCUUUUAAAAGACAGUCACUCUCCGGGAUUCCUUAAGCAAAGACAACGACCGUUCAUGUUUGUGUGCUGCAUGCUUCUACUUUCCAAAACACUAUUUCUGGUGGUAAACUUCCACUAGCUUGGCUUCUCUCAUCUCUUCCUGUCCCGCCCCUGACCUUACCUUGUGUUCAAGGUCAUGACUUCGAGUACAACAUGGGACAUUUUUCAUGACAACAUUUUUUGGCUGCCAUCUCAGGCGCAGUACAUUUGUGGCGUAUUAAAGUAGCUGCCCGUAUGUUUAUGAGCAGUCUCCCUUCAACUUUGUUAUCCAGCGUCUGUAGAAACAGGAAUUCCAGGUCUCGUAAGGUCGUUUUGUUGUACCAGAAGUCUUGUGAUUUGUCAGGUGCAGCUUUGCAAACCUAAGUCGUGUUCUUUAAGAGAGAAGAUACCAAACUUGUUCAGUCUUUUUCUAAUCGUGCCGUCAUGAACUUUCACAUUUAACACUUGCUGCACUUUCUCUGAAUAAGCUGACUGUCCAAUACUCACAGAAUACUUAUUAUAGUACAUGGCAGCUGCCAUAACAGGAAGUCCAGAAUAAAUCUACUAAGCUUUAGUUUGAACCUUAGUUUAAACAAACCUGAGCAGCUGCUCUCCAUGUGUUUCCCACUCUGACACUUUCAGCAGUCAGCCGAGGCUUGGAGCCCACAGAGCGGGGCAGGCAGUUCAGAUAAAAUCCAAAGCAUGUGUUUUCAUAUGCAUGUGUUUAUUGUGAGUUAGACUCAUGUUUACAAACAUUUUUUAAAAAUACAUGUAAAUGUAGAAAAAUACAAAUGCUUAUUAUUAGUAUAUUAGAAUAUUUUAUAUGCGUGAGUACCUUUAUUAACAUUAUUAUAUAACAUGAUGGUUCAAAACAGACACAAAAAAGCAACAGUUACAUGAAGAAUAACCAAUCAAUCGAAUAAUCAUGCAGUCUGCAAUGUAGGUGUUAUUCAUAUAAUCGGAUUGGAUACUUCCUGAAGGUGAGUUGUGUUAGUAGACUACGUGAUGACAUACCACAUGAGCACACUGGGACCAGAAAAGUACACUGCCAUAUGUUCUGUUACUGAGGAGCGAUUGAAGGACAAACACAAUAAAAUUCUGAGAAAGAAAUUAAACAGUUGAACGUUUUGAGAAACACAUUAGUUGAACUAAAGUCCAUUUGGAAAUGCCCACAGGCAGUUAUUUUGAAGUUUUAACUUAAACAACUUAAAAUCCUAAAGUCAUCGAGUCAGAAAACGUGAAAGAAAGAUCAUACGUGUGUGCUAAUCAACAGGAUAGACUCAGGUAGCCUCAGGUGCCUCAGGUGUAUAUUGUUAACUGGUGACUAUGUGAUGAUGCAUUUUAUGCAGCGGCAUUUUGAACCAGCUGCAGACGUGAAAGCAACAACUGCCUGACCCUCACAUAAAGGGAGUUACAGUCGUAAAGACAGGAUAAAAUAAAAGCAUGGAUCAGUGUGCUGCCCAGAAAGAAAAGAUUUCACUGCUGCCAGUCACCUUACAUGAUAAAAAAUGGACUUCACUGCUCUAAUUUGGCUGUCAGUAAUAACAGGUUUAAAAUAUUAUUAUUUAAAAUAAUAAUAAUACAUUUAAGGCCAACCAGGUUUUACUGUUAUCUAGAAAUGCCAAGAGAGGUUUUAUGAAGAGGGCAUCCUUCUGCUUUAGUGGCAAAUAAAUUUGGCAGUCAUCAGCGUAACAAUGAAAAGAGAUCCCAUGCCUUCUAAGGAUGGAUACUGUUUUCAUCUAGAAAAUACUUCAGUUGACAAAAAACAAAUUUUUAAAGGCAGCUUGGAAAUAGGCCUAUAAUUUGCUAAUACUGUGUGAUCAAGGCCAGGUUUCUUAAGCAGUGGCUGCACUACUGCAUGUUUGAAAUUUGCAGGAACCACACCAGAAAACAGGCUGCUGUUAAUAAUGUCAAGGACAGACUGCCCUAUACUAGGAAAAAUGUCUUUGUGGAGGGAGAGGAUCCCGAGGGCAACCUGCGGGCUUAAUAUGGCGAACCACAUCCUCUAAAGUGGAGAGCGUCACAAGUUCAAACUGAGUAAAAACAGCAGUGCAAGGGACAGAGGCAGAGGGGUCAGACUCAGGAAUGUGAUAAGAGCCCUGGUGGUGACAACCUUUUCAAUAAAAAAGUUCAGAAAAUUAUUGCAAAUAUCAGGAGAAACUUCCAAACAGACAUUAAGAACAGAGUUAAUGGCAUAAAAUAACACACGUGGGUUAUGACUGUUGGAAGAAAUAAUAUUUGAAAAAUAUUUCCUUUUUGCCUCUUUAACAGUGUUCUGGUAGCGAUGCCAGCAGUCUUUUAGAAUUUGAAAUGAUACAUGCGGUUUAUCCUCUUUCCAUCUCCGUUCUGCUUGACGACAUUCCCUCUUAACAGCACGACUGCUCUCAUUAAACCAAGGCUCAGGUUUAGUCUUGGGCUGCCUGGGUUUUAAAGGAGCCACAGAGUCCAUGAUUUUUUGACAGCAAGAAUAAAACCAGGAAUUAAGCUCCUCUGUGUCAGAGGAAACAAAGUCAGAAGGGCCAAGGGCGCAGAUUUGGUUUUGGCAUUGGUGGGGAUGGAUGAUUCAACCACUGAACCCUGCCCUGUUUUUUUUUGUUUUGUUUUUUUGUCUUAGCUACUUAAUAAAAAGAGGAGAAAUAUACUUGCCUACAUAUCCUAUUCUACAUGCUUUUAAACCAUUUAAAAUCACAAUUCAUAGUUCAGUGAUUCCUGAUAUUAAGGACAAAACUGAUUUUAAUUUUCUAAAAUAUAUUUUAACAUAUUUACAUAUAAUUGUUACACAAAGUUUUGGCUGUCUCACCAUGUUUUGGUACAAUCUCCCAGGUGUAACAUUUUUUAAUAAUUUAUGUUUUUGCUGGAGAAGUGCAAGGUUUUUGUCAACACCGUCAGACACAAAGAAAUGCAAAAAUAUAUAUUUUAAAUUGAGUUGUUUCAGCUAUUUUGACUAUUAGCAGCUUCUCUGUUCUACUGUUUAUGCACAUAUGUUUUCAAAUGAAUUAUACCAUGUUUUAAAGUAAGAUUGUUUGGCUUUUAUUAGAGUUACAGUCAUACAUAUUUUCAGAAGCUUGUAUUUAAUCUCUAUAAGAAACAAUUAUAUUUAGCAGCAUGCAAAUUACACAUUUAUUGAGAAAAUUGCGUAUUUUUAUUGGAAGAACUAUUAGGAAUUGGUGGGGUUCCUCUGGUGUGGUGUCACGGGGUCUGCUUCUGUUUUCAGCACAGGUAGGCGGGGUGGUGUGUCACGGGAUGCUGACACACCGGCGGUACAUCAGACGUCAUUUGAUGGAGCGUUAUUUAGGAGCAGCGCGACAGACGUCUGGUGUCGGAGUAUUGCCACCUCCCCGAGUGCUGGAUCUACCACCCGCUUACCUGUCAGCUGUUUGUGAAGCCGCAUUUCCGGGAUUUCUAUGGAGAGAGAUCUCAGCAUUUCUUCUACUUCCCGGGAAUCCUCGCCCGAGUCUGUACCGCCAGUGUGACAAAUCCACCCUGUGUGUGCGGGUUACCCCUUUCCCUCAGAAUGCGUGUCAGCUCCCUUCUCUGGUUUCCCUCCGUUUAUUUGUCGGUGUACAUAUUCCAUCCCGUGUAAAUAAGUUGGACACUGUAAAUAAAAAGCACUUCCUGCA
Oreochromis niloticus (Nile tilapia) is the source of this 4959-nucleotide long non-coding RNA. RefSeq lists it as uncharacterized. The record is from RefSeq and is a predicted model, not a curated record. The transcript is spliced from 4 exons. NCBI's taxonomy places the organism in Eukaryota, Metazoa, Chordata, Actinopteri, Cichliformes, Cichlidae.